This 552-nucleotide ribosomal RNA is filed under the name fungal endophyte sp. P1606A. RNAcentral's name for it is "eukaryotic LSU rRNA". The stretch from base 193 to 346 matches the Rfam family "5.8S ribosomal RNA". The record is from RNAcentral. Lineage: Eukaryota; Fungi.
CUGCGGAGGGAUCAUUGCUGGAACGCGCCCCGGCGCACCCAGAAACCCUUUGUGAACUUAUACCUUACUGUUGCCUCGGCGCAGGCCGGCCUCUCUUCUGAGGCCCCCCGGAGACGGGGAGCAGCCCGCCGGCGGCCAACCAAACUCUUGUUUCUUAGUGAAUCUCUGAGUAAAAAAACAUAAAUGAAUCAAAACUUUCAACAACGGAUCUCUUGGUUCUGGCAUCGAUGAAGAACGCAGCGAAAUGCGAUAAGUAAUGUGAAUUGCAGAAUUCAGUGAAUCAUCGAAUCUUUGAACGCACAUUGCGCCCUCUGGUAUUCCGGAGGGCAUGCCUGUUCGAGCGUCAUUUCAACCCUCAAGCCUGGCUUGGUGUUGGGGCACUGCUUCGAGAGAAGCAGGCCCUGAAAUCUAGUGGCGAGCUCGCUAGGACCCCGAGCGUAGUAGUUAUAUCUCGUUCUGGAAGGCCCUGGCGGCGCCCUGCCGUUAAACCCCCAACUUCUGAAAUUUUGACCUCGGAUCAGGUAGGAAUACCCGCUGAACUUAAGCAUAUCA